UUAACAGUUUUGAACAAAAUAAUUUCUUCAAAAAAGGAUUAGCAAGAGUCAUUUAUUUUUCACUUUCAUUAACUUAGCUAGCACAUGCAGCUAGCUAGCUAGCUUAGCCUACUCAGAGGGAUGUUAGCUAGCUAGCUAUGACUAUCCAACACAACACUGGAACCCUUCCAAGUCAAGGUAAGCUUUUGGUUUUAUUAAUUUAUUGCCAACAGGGUUUACUAACGCUUUAGUUCUAUUAGCUAUUUUGACUAUGACGUUACUUUAGCUAAUAUGGGGACAACGAUGCAGGCUGUGUGUAGUGGUUAUGAUAUGGUUUGGCUUGGAAACGUUUUUUACUCCUGGUCACAUAUAGCUGAUGUGUUGUGCAUUGAAGUCCACAAGGGGAAAAAGGUGAGAGGAGACGGUAUAGACGCGAGAAGGAAUACAACGUGGCUGCUAUGAAAGUGAACUGUGUUUACGCGUAAUCAGGGGUGUAUUCGUUUCGACGAUUCUGUUAAGUUUCUUAAACGGAAGCAAACGGAACAAAACGGGGAUAAAUAUACCUGAAUUUGUCCAAUAGAAAACUCUCGUUUGGAACUGUUGGACUAAAUGAUGACACCCUAGAUGCAGGUCAGACUGUGAAAGGCGGUAUUGAAUGUGUCACUGUCACCUCAAAUGUUUCUCUCGUUGUAAAUAAGGCCAUGCUUAUGAAUAAAUAAAUCGUCCUCCCUCGUCAUAAACGCCAGCGAUAUCCCAUAAUACGCCCCCUGAUCACCACGGUAACACGUCCUGUUACCCAGAACCCCCGAGGUCAGAGGUCAACAGUAUUGGUGUUAUCACCCUUAAAUCAGCCAAUCAAUGACCUGAUUAAGACCUGAGUAAUCAAAAGGUUGUAAAUAAUACAAAGUUCACAGUGUGUGUAUUUGUUCGUGUGUGUGUGUUCAGUGUGUGUUCAGUGUGUGUUCAGUGUGUGUGUGUGUUCAGUGUGUGUGUGUGUGUGUGUGUGUGCGUGUUAGUGUGAGUGUGUUCAGUGUGUGUGUGUGCGUGCGUGCGUGUGUGUGUGUUAGUGUUGUGUUCAGUGUGUGUGUGUGUGUGUGUGUGUGUGUGUGUGUGUGUGUGUGUGUGUGUGUGUGUGUUGUGUGUGUGUGUGUGUUCAGUGUGUGUGUGUGUGUGUUCAGUGUGUGUGUGUUCAGUGUGUGUGUGUGUGUGUUCAGUGUGUGUGUGUUCAGUGUGUGUGUGUGUGUGUGUGUGUGUGUGUGCUCCUCUCACAGAACAGAAACAGAAACAUGGAAUAAUGUUGUUCAGGUCUACUGUAAUGGUUCUAUUAAAGACAUGGACCCAACAUUCAGACAUGUUACUAACUAAUAAAUACAUGACA
Molecule: long non-coding RNA, 1357 nt
Filed under: Salmo salar (Atlantic salmon)
Lineage: Eukaryota; Metazoa; Chordata; Actinopteri; Salmoniformes; Salmonidae
Description: lncRNA (ENSSSAG00000109535.1)
Source: RNAcentral